UCUUUCUUUCUCUCCCUCUCGAUCUCUCUUUCUCUUUCUCCCUCUCUCUGACAGUCGCCUUUCAAAUAAACAAAUAAAUAAAUUUUAAACAAAAGAGUGAAGAACAGGGUAAAAUCAGAGGGAGAUUUUCUAACUCACAAAAUGAGAGUUUGCAAAAGUUCUGUCUUUGGGCAAGCAGGCAAAAGAGUAACAUUUCCUCCAAGCUAUUUUUUCAGUUCCAAACACAGGAAACAGGCACAUCAACUGACUCAAGAAUUUAGCUGGAACCAGUCAUGACCACAGCCGCGAUAACAGGAUGUGCACAUGACUGAGAGUUAACAUUUUCCUCAUUUUAGUGCUAAGAUCUCUGCAACAUGGGGAGCUUAAGCCUCAUUGCCAUAAACAUGUGAUUGAAGUGUUAGCCUGUCUUUGAAUUGUCCCUGCGUGAGCCUCUGCCCACCCCUUCAUGUGAAGACAUGUACUUGCUCUUUUGCAUAUUCACAUGUCCUAAGAUAAAACACACCCACUUCCAUUUGCUCGGGGAGCCGCGGCUUUGGGAAUUAUUCUCUGUGGUCUCUUUAUUUGCUGCAAAUGAAUUACUUCAUAUGACAUCUACUUAUUUCUACUCCCUGAGAAGCAAACCUCCAACUUGGGUGGAUAACACUUGGAGCCAAAGUUCCAAGGCUAUGCCUUGAGACCUUUACCCGGGAAAUGGAUGAAUUACAUUAAGAAUCCCAUAGAAACCACCCUGUUGCACCCAGUCCCAGAGGGGCUGCCUGGGAAUUUCAGGGCCCAGCUUAGGAGGAGACGAAAUCAGAGACAAGGGCACAUCAGGAACAACCCCACAAGCGCUUCCAGAAGCACGACUCAUCCGAAGCCCAGCCCAGGAUGCCCUGUAAUAUAAAAACAUACUCCUACUGCUGACUCCUCAUCUGCUGCACUCCUCAGGGACCAUCUGUGGCUGUGGCUGUGGCUGAGACUAGGGUUGACCUAAAUACCACCAAGAUGUCCUGUGAGAAGACGCUGCAGCAGUCCCAGUCCCCUCCCAAAUGUGCUGCACUCAAGUCCCCAGCCCCAAGCCCUCCUCUAGUUUCCUCCUCCUGUGACUCCAGCUCUGGGGAUGGUGGCUGCUCCCUGGGUCACCACAGAGCCUGUCAGUCUCUUCAAGGCCAGCACCAGAGCUCCCGCUGCUGUUGCUGCAGCAGCACCAAUGGCAAUGGCAGCGGCAGCGGAAGUGGCAGUGGCAGCGGCAGCGGAAGCGGAAGCGGAAGUGGCAGCGGAAGCGGAAGCGGAAGCGGAAGCGGAAGCGGCAGCGGCAGUGGAAGUGGCAGUGGCAGCGGCAGCGGAAGCGGCAGCGGCAGCGGAAGCGGAAGUGGCAGCGGCAGCGGCCGAGGAAGCGGCCAGUAGUCCCGGGGCUCCCACUGCAGCCGUGGGAAGCACUGAGAAACCCCCUGGAGGAGUGAGAGGACCGUGGGCCCACUGCGAGGUCCCAACCCUUCUCUUUUCUCCGUUGCCACGCCCCCCUCCAAGAAACGCGUGAGAUUUGCUUCCUUAAACAGCCACUCACCCUGUGCCUUGGACCUACAUUUUCAGUCCAGCGUUAUCUGUAGUCCUCACUGGGGAAAAAUACUGUGGAACAUGUACUUUGCAACAGUAAAUUUUGUUUCAAAUCUCAA
Oryctolagus cuniculus (rabbit) is the source of this 1655-nucleotide non-coding RNA. Lineage: Eukaryota; Metazoa; Chordata; Mammalia; Lagomorpha; Leporidae. The record is from RefSeq and is a predicted model, not a curated record.